RNAcentral lists this ribosomal RNA (165 nucleotides) under uncultured Debaryomyces. RNAcentral describes it as "partial 26S ribosomal RNA". It matches the Rfam family "Eukaryotic large subunit ribosomal RNA", at positions 62 to 225 of the family's 3401-position model. Lineage: Eukaryota; Fungi; Ascomycota; Saccharomycetes; Saccharomycetales; Saccharomycetaceae. The record is from RNAcentral.
AAACCAACAGGGAUUGCCUUAGUAACGGCGAGUGAAGCGGCAAAAGCUCAAAUUUGAAAUCUGGCACCUUCGGUGUCCGAGUUGUAAUUUGAAGAAGGUAACUUUGGAGUUGGCUCUUGUAUAUGUUCCUUGGAACAGGACGUCACAGAGGGUGAGAAUCCCGUG